Non-coding RNA from Coturnix japonica (Japanese quail), 578 nucleotides. Lineage: Eukaryota; Metazoa; Chordata; Aves; Galliformes; Phasianidae. The record is from RefSeq and is a predicted model, not a curated record.
AAUGCUACUGCUGGCGGUAAAUUGGCUGCUUGCUUGGCGAUGAGCUUCACAGCUGUGGCCCUUCCCUGUACCGUCUGUGUUUCAGAGUGUAUUGGUCAAGCAGAAGGGAAGGAAAAGAAUGGUCCUUUGCUUUGGGCUCGGUGCCCUAAAGAGAAACUCUAGUCACUGAUAUGCAGCCCAGACUCCUGCCACUGCUACAAAGGAAGCACACAAGUCACUACAGCAACAGCUUUAUGAAGAUGCUACUAUGUGCUUGGAUUACGAAUACAAUAUGAAGUGUUUUGUUUUAUGAGGUGGUGUCUGAGACCAAUGAGGAACUUGGCUGUGCUGAAUGAAGAGCCAGAAGCUCUAAAAACGGAGAGCUAGGAGAAGGAUGGAUGGAGACCUGCAGAGGCAAAGCAGCAACCAGCUUUUCACAGAAUCACAGAAUUGUAGGGGUUGGAAGGGACAUCUAGAGAUCAUCGAGUCCAACCUCCCCUGCCAAAAGCAGGUUCCCUACACUUUUUUCUACUUCCUCUUAUGGACAGCAUCUACUUUCUGUUUAUGGACAGCAUCAGUUUCCUCUUAUAGCUGAAAAA